GACGAACGCUGGCGGCGUGCCUAAUACAUGCAAGUAGAACGCUGAAGGAGGAGCUUGCUUCUCUGGAUGAGUUGCGAACGGGUGAGUAACGCGUAGGUAACCUGCCUGGUAGCGGGGGAUAACUAUUGGAAACGAUAGCUAACACCGCAUAAUAGUAGAUGUUGCAUGACAUUUGCUUAAAAGGUGCAAUUGCAUCACUACCAGAUGGACCUGCGUUGUAUUAGCUAGUUGGUGAGGUAACGGCUCACCAAGGCGACGAUACAUAGCCGACCUGAGAGGGUGAUCGGCCACACUGGGACUGAGACACGGCCCAGACUCCUACGGGAGGCAGCAGUAGGGAAUCUUCGGCAAUGGGGGGAACCCUGACCGAGCAACGCCGCGUGAGUGAAGAAGGUUUUCGGAUCGUAAAGCUCUGUUGUAAGAGAAGAACGAGUGUGAGAGUGGAAAGUUCACACUU
This 457-nucleotide ribosomal RNA is filed under the name Streptococcus mitis. Its description in RNAcentral is "bacterial SSU rRNA". It matches the Rfam family "Bacterial small subunit ribosomal RNA", at positions 28 to 471 of the family's 1533-position model. Lineage: Bacteria; Bacillati; Bacillota; Bacilli; Lactobacillales; Streptococcaceae. The record is from RNAcentral.